UCUUGAACCCGGCAGGGGCAAUCGGAACUCUAGGUGGAGCGGUGAAAUGCGUAGAUAUCUAGAGGAACGCCAAAGGCGAAGGCAGAUUGCUGGGCCGGUGUUGACGCUCAGGCACGAAAGCGUGGGUAGCGAACGGGAUUAGAUACCCCGGUAGUCCACGCCCUAAACGAUGUGUACUAGAUCGAGGAGGUUUUGACGCCAUCUCGGUCGGAGCAAAAGUAUUAAGUACACCGCCUGGGGAGUACGGUCGCAAGGCUAAAACUCAAAGGAAUUGACGGGGGCUCACACAAGCGGUGGAGCAUGUGGCUUAAUUCGAAGCAACGCGAAGAACCUUAUCCAGGGCUUGACAUGCACGGAUUAGCUUCCUGAAAGGGAAGUGACGCCUCGGUGGAACGUGCACAGGUGCUGCAUGGCUGUCGUCAGCUCGUGCUGUGAAGUGUCGGGUUAAGUCCCUUAACGAGCGAAACCCUUGCCGCUAGUUGCUACCAGGUAAUGCUGAGGACUCUAGCGGGACUGCCGGUGUCAAACCGGAGGAAGGUGGGGAUGACGUCAAGUCCUCAUGGCCUUUAUGCCCUGGGCUGCACACGUGCUACAAUGGUACGGACAAAGCGACGCGAUGCCGCAAGGUGGAGCAAAUCGCAUAAACCGUGCCCCAGUUCGGAUUGAGGUC
Molecule: ribosomal RNA, 670 nt
Filed under: uncultured Planctomycetota bacterium
Lineage: Bacteria; Pseudomonadati; Planctomycetota
Description: bacterial SSU rRNA
Rfam family: Bacterial small subunit ribosomal RNA
Source: RNAcentral